UACGGGGGGAGCAAGCGUUGUUCGGAUUUACUGGGCGUAAAGCGCACGUAGGCGGAUUUGCAAGUCGGGGGUGAAAUCCCGAGGCUCAACCUCGGAACUGCCUUCGAUACUGCAAAUCUCGAGUCCGGAAGAGGUGAGUGGAAUUCCUAGUGUAGAGGUGAAAUUCGUAGAUAUUAGGAAGAACACCAGUGGCGAAGGCGGCUCACUGGUCCGGUACUGACGCUGAGGCGCGAAAGCGUGGGGAGCAAACAGG
RNAcentral lists this ribosomal RNA (253 nucleotides) under uncultured bacterium. Its description in RNAcentral is "partial 16S ribosomal RNA". It matches the Rfam family "Bacterial small subunit ribosomal RNA", at positions 524 to 776 of the family's 1533-position model. The record is from RNAcentral.